RNAcentral lists this ribosomal RNA (710 nucleotides) under uncultured Bacteroidota bacterium. RNAcentral describes it as "bacterial SSU rRNA". It matches the Rfam family "Bacterial small subunit ribosomal RNA", at positions 59 to 771 of the family's 1533-position model. Lineage: Bacteria; Pseudomonadati; Bacteroidota. The record is from RNAcentral.
CAGUCGAGGGGUAUUGGUUUUCGGACCAGAGACCGGCGCACGGGUGCGUAAUGCGUAUGCAAUCUACCUUUCACAGAGGGAUAGCCCAGAGAAAUUUGGAUUAAUACCUCAUAGUAUGCAGAGUUGGCAUCAACACUGCAUUAAAGUCACAACGGUGAAAGAUGAGCAUGCGUCCCAUUAGCUAGUUGGUAAGGUAACGGCUUACCAAGGCUACGAUGGGUAGGGGUCCUGAGAGGGAGAUCCCCCACACUGGUACUGAGACACGGACCAGACUCCUACGGGAGGCAGCAGUGAGGAAUAUUGGUCAAUGGGCGCAAGCCUGAACCAGCCAUGCCGCGUGCAGGAUGACGGUCCUAUGGAUUGUAAACUGCUUUUGUACAGGAAGAAACAACAUUACGUGUAAUGUCUUGACGGUACUGUAAGAAUAAGGAUCGGCUAACUCCGUGCCAGCAGCCGCGGUAAUACGGAGGAUCCAAGCGUUAUCCGGAAUCAUUGGGUUUAAAGGGUCCGUAGGCGGUUUAGUAAGUCAGUGGUGAAAGCCCAUCGCUCAACGGUGGAACGGCCAUUGAUACUGCUAGACUUGAAUUAUUAGGAAGUGACUAGAAUAUGUAGUGUAGCGGUGAAAUGCUUAGAGAUUACAUGGAAUACCAAUUGCGAAGGCAGGUUACUACUAAUGGAUUGACGCUGAUGGACGAAAGCGUGGGUAGCGA